RNAcentral lists this transfer RNA (96 nucleotides) under Mobilicoccus caccae. Its description in RNAcentral is "tRNA-Sec". It matches the Rfam family "Selenocysteine transfer RNA". Lineage: Bacteria; Bacillati; Actinomycetota; Actinomycetes; Micrococcales; Dermatophilaceae. The record is from RNAcentral.
GGAGGCGUCUGGGUUCCUGGUGGGCCCCGCGGUCUUCAACACCGACGAGGUCGAGCAUCUCGGCCUGGCGGGUUCGAUCCCCGUCCGCCUCCGCCA